AAUUAACAACAUACAUUAAAGAACAAAAGGGUAAGGAGAAGAUAUGCUAUAGGUACAUUUAAUCUUAUCUCUAAUGUGCAAGAGAUGCUUACAAAUCAUUAAGAAAAAGAUAAAUCCUUCAUUAGAAACACGGGGAAAGGACAUGAACAGGUAAUUCACAAAAACUACAUACGACUGAAAAAACCAAAAAGGUAUUUAUUUAUCCUCACUAAUAAUCUCAGCAAUGCUGAUACAAAUCAGUGUCAUUGGCCUUGAGUUCAUUUGGUCAAAUAGUAAUGCUGACAAAGUCCGGGAGGGUGAGGGUGUGAGCAGACGGAGAGCAGAGCUGUGUUGCUGCGACAUACAUUGUUGUGCGUGUCCCGAGGGCAGCGUGGCAAAAUUAGGAAGUGUAUACCCUUUAUUGUGGCGAUCUUGUUUGCUCAUUUUUAUACUGCAGAGAUAAUUGCCAAAAUGAGCAAAGAGAUACGCACGGGAUAUUUACCGCAACAUUGUUUAUGAGAGUGAAAUCUUGAUGCCACCCUAAAUGAUUAUCAAUAGAGACCCAGCAAGAAUAAGUGUGAUACAUACAUACAAUGGGGAAUACUAUGGAGCAAUUAAAAUAAUUUUGCAGAGCUCUAUUUAUUGACAUAGAAAGAUGUCUAUGACAUAUUGUUGAGCGAGAAAAGCAGGUGUCAGCGAGAACAGUAUGUAUAAUACAAGUCCUCAACUAUAAAAUUAUAUACAUGGAUCUCCAUGUGUAUAUAUGCAUAGAGAUAUGUCUGCAAGGCUGUUCACCAAAAUGCUAGGAGCAGUUAUAUCUGGGUGGUAGGAUUUUUACUUUCUUUUUCAUACUUUCAGAUAUCGGUUUGAUUUUGUUUUUAUAAUGAGGAUAUAUCGUGUUUGUCAGUCAGAAUAAACAAUAAAGCUAUUUUCAUUUUGGAAUGAAGAUAAAUAUUAAACAAGAGGAAUCAGCAUGUGGUGAUUUAAUGGCUGUGGAUAGAGUCAAGAGGCAAGCCAGGAAUUUGAUCCUCGGUGCCUGAAGGAUGUGUAUCGUUGCAAAUCCUAAGCAGCAGCUGAUGGGGAGGGAUCGAACUCGGGACCUUGCGCUUUCGAGGCCUCCCUGCUGCCCUCCUGAAGCAAGGGUGGAAGGCGGCCCCACCCUCUGCUGGAACACCUGCAGCUGGGCUUCCAUGCCCUCUGCCCCAUGACUCCUCCACCUGGCUUGUCUAAUGAGAGUGCCUUCCACCAUCGCUGGACCUUUUCUGGGAUUUGGCCUAAGGUGCUCUUCCUCCCAUCUGCAUCUCUGGCUGGGCAAUACCAACCUGGACAUGGUUCUGCUCCUGUGCUGACUGUAAGUGUCUCUAUCAUGGUCUGUUGAGCAUCCUUUGGGGGCAGGGACCAGGUCAGAUUCAUCCCUUGGCACCCUGGGCCUCAGCAGAGCUGGGAAUGUGCAGGCUGAAGGCUGAUUCUGGUGCAAAACAAGGUGCCCCAGUGUGGAUCUUGCAGCCCCUGGAGGUCUGCCCUUCCUUCCUUUCUCCUGUGGUCCUCUCCCUUUGCUAAUGAUUUUGGAACUUAAAAAAUUGAUUAAAAGUUGGAAUGUAUAUACAUAAAAAUAAAAUAGCGGACACUAAUAGUAUCCUUUAAACUUUAAUAUAAAGAGAAAGCACGUUCAAGGGACAUUUUCUGGAUGGCUCCAAAUUAGCAUGAAUUUCUCAGCGGGUGUCCUGACUUUGCUCCCCUCCCUUGAGGUCUGUGGCUGGAUCUCCUCGCUGGGAUCCUGACCAGGCUGGGAGUGAAGCAGAGUGUGGAGAACUUGGGCUUCAUGCUUGAAUAAGUCUGGCUUGAAUCUGCCAUGUGUAGCCUGUGUGACCUUUCGGGACCUCAAUUUUAUAAUCUGUACAAUGAGGGAAGAGGCUUCGUUUCACAGGGUGGUGCCCAGGGCCAAGGGCAAUGGCUAGCUUCUGUCCUUCCACCUUAAGAAUAAAUCCAGAAUCCAGUGAUUGCCAAGGCAGCAGGCUAGGCCCCAUCAUCUCCUCCCGCUUUCCAAGAGUCUGUUCUGUAUACUGCAGCCACAGUGAUCUCAGUGUGGAAGUCAUGUCAUAUCACUUGUCUGCUCAAAACCCCCAAUGAUCUGUCUCAUCUGGAGUAAAAGCCAAGGUCAUCACAGUGGCCUCAAGCUCCAUAUGAUUAAGCCCCACCCCACCUGUUACUGUCUCUACUGUUCUCCCACAUGUCACUUACCUCCAACCACACUACCCUCCUGCCUGUCCCCAAAAGUGUCAGAUGCAUCCUGCCUCAGGACCUUUGCCUGUGCUGUGUCCUUUGCUGGAAUGCUCUUCCCCUAGGUAUUAUCAUGGCUCCCUCCAUCACCUCCUUCAGGUCUCAAAGGUCACCUUCUUUUGAGCUGCGGUGGAGGUGAGGAACAUUGUGCUCUUUUUGAUUUAUUUUUUCAUCCGUGCAAUUUAUUGCAGUCUUCUAUACUAUACUUUUUUGUAUUAUAUUCUGUGUUGCUUGUCUCCUUCUGAAGAGAAUGGAAGCUCCUUGAGAGCAGGGAUUUUGCCUUUGUACCAUUUGGAAAGUGCCUGGAAAUAAU
This is a long non-coding RNA of Heterocephalus glaber (naked mole-rat), 2572 nucleotides long. The record is from Ensembl. NCBI's taxonomy places the organism in Eukaryota, Metazoa, Chordata, Mammalia, Rodentia, Bathyergidae.